ACUGGGAGAGGUCGUUCAAUACUACCAGACUCGAGAGCAGUAGAGGAAAGUGGAAUUCCCGGUGUAGUGGUGAAAUGCGUAGAUAUCGGGAGGAACACCAGUGGCGAAAGCGGCUUUCUGGACUGUUUCUGACACUCAGACACGAAAGCUAGGGUAGCAAACGGGAUUAGAGACCCCGGUAGUCCUAGCUGUAAACGAUGUGAACUUGGCGUCGGCGGGUUCAAAGCCGUCGGUGCCGUAGCCAACGCGAUAAGUUCACCACCUGGGGACUACGGCCGCAAGGUUAAAACUCAAAGGAAUUGACGGGUCCCCGCACAAGCAGCGGAGCGUGUGGUUUAAUUCGAUGUUACACGAAGAACCUUACCCAGGUUUGACAUGUUGGUGGUAGGGAAGCGAAAGCAGACCGACCCGCAAGGGAGCCUUCACAGGUGUUG
RNAcentral lists this ribosomal RNA (434 nucleotides) under uncultured bacterium. RNAcentral's name for it is "bacterial SSU rRNA". It matches the Rfam family "Bacterial small subunit ribosomal RNA", at positions 612 to 1043 of the family's 1533-position model. The record is from RNAcentral.